GAUGAAGAACGUAGUGAAAUGCGAUAAGUAAUGUGAAUUGCAGAAUUCCGUGAAUCAUCGAAUCUUUGAACGCACAUUGCGCCCCCUGGUAUUCCGGGGGGCAUGCCUGUCCGAGCGUCAUUGCAACCCUCAAGCGCGGCUUGUGUGUUGGGCUUCGUCCCCCCGUGGACGUGCCCGAAAGGCAGUGGCGGCGUCCCGAAUGGUGCCCGAGCGUAUGGGAACUCUCUUCCGCUCGAACCGGCCCAUUCGGCGCUGGUCGAACCCCAAUUUUUUUUUACCGGUUGACCUCGGAUCAGGUAGGGAUACCCGCUGAACUUAAGCAUAUCAAUAAGCGGAGGA
This 339-nucleotide unclassified non-coding RNA is filed under the name soil metagenome. RNAcentral's name for it is "partial contains 5.8S ribosomal RNA, internal transcribed spacer 2, and large subunit ribosomal RNA". The stretch from base 1 to 120 matches the Rfam family "5.8S ribosomal RNA", at positions 35 to 154 of the family's 154-position model. The record is from RNAcentral.